UCCCAGACUCCUACGGGAGGCAGCAGUGGGGAAUAUUGCACAAUGGGGGAAACCCUGAUGCAGCGACGCCGCGUGGGUGAAGAAGCGCCUCGGCGCGUAAAGCCCUGUCAGCAGGGAAGAAAAUGACGGUACCUGAAGAAGAAGCCCCGGCUAACUACGUGCCAGCAGCCGCGGUAAUACGUAGGGGGCAAGCGUUAUCCGGAUUUACUGGGUGUAAAGGGGGCGCAGACGGCGAUGCAAGCCAGGAGUGAAAGCCCGGGGCCCAACCCCGGGACUGCUCUUGGAACUGCGUGGCUGGAGUGCAGGAGGGGCAGGCGGAAUUCCUGGUGUAGCGGUGAAAUGCGUAGAUAUAACUUAGAACCCCGAUAGCGAAGGCAGCUUACCAGACUGUUACUGACGCUGAAGCACGAGAGCGUGGGUAGCGAACAGGAUUAGAUACCCCUGUAC
Molecule: ribosomal RNA, 447 nt
Filed under: uncultured bacterium
Lineage: Bacteria
Description: partial 16S ribosomal RNA
Rfam family: Bacterial small subunit ribosomal RNA
Source: RNAcentral